AGAGUUUGAUUCUGGCUCAGGACGAACGCUGGCGGCGCGCCUAACACAUGCAAGUCGAACGAGAGAGAGGGAGCUUGCUUCCUCAAUCGAGUGGCGAACGGGUGAGUAACGCGUGAGGAACCUGCCUCAAAGAGGGGGACAACAGUUGGAAACGACUGCUAAUACCGCAUAAGCCCACAGGUCGGCAUCGACCAGAGGGAAAAGGAGCAAUCCGCUUUGAGAUGGCCUCGCGUCCGAUUAGCUAGUUGGUGAGGUAAUGGCCCACCAAGGCAACGAUCGGUAGCCGGACUGAGAGGUUGAACGGCCACAUUGGGACUGAGACACGGCCCAGACUCCUACGGGAGGCAGCAGUGGGGAAUAUUGCACAAUGGGCGAAAGCCUGAUGCAGCAACGCCGCGUGAGCGAUGAAGGCCUUCGGGUCGUAAAGCUCUGUCCUCAAGGAAGAUAAUGACGGUACUUGAGGAGGAAGCCCCGGCUAACUACGUGCCAGCAGCCGCGGUAAAACGUAGGUCACAAGCGUUGUCCGGAAUUACUGGGUGUAAAGGGAGCGCAGGCGGGAAGACAAGUUGGAAGUGAAAUCCAUGGGCUCAACCCAUGAACUGCUUUCAAAACUGUUUUUCUUGAGUAGUGCAGAGGUAGGCGGAAUUCCCGGUGUAGCGGUGGAAUGCGUAGAUAUCGGGAGGAACACCAGUGGCGAAGGCGGCCUACUGGGCACCAACUGACGCUGAGGCUCGAAAGUGUGGGUAGCAAACAGGAUUAGAUACCCUGGUAGUCCACACUGUAAACGAUGAUUAACUAGAUGAUUGGAGGAUUGCCCCCUUCAGUGCCGCAGUUAACACGAUAAGUAAUCCACCUGGGGAGUCCGACCGCAAGGUUGAAACUCAAAAGGAAUUGACGGGGGCCCGCACAAGCAGUGGAGGUAUGUGGUUUAAUUCGACGCAACGCGAAGAACCUUACCAAGUCUUGACAUCCUGCGACGGUGCUGGAAACAGUACUUUCCUUCGGGACGCAGAGACAGGUGGUGCAUGGUUGUCGUCAGCUCGUGUCGUGAGAUGUUGGGUUAAGUCCCGCAACGAGCGCAACCCUUAUGGUCAGUUACUACGUAAGAGGACUCUGGCCAGACUGCCGUUGACAAAACGGAGGAAGGUGGGGAUGACGUCAAAUCAUCAUGCCCUUUAUGACUUGGGCUACACACGUACUACAAUGGCGUUAAACAAAGAGAAGCAAGACCGCGAGGUGGAGCAAAACUCAGAAACAACGUCCCAGUUCGGACUGCAGGCUGCAACUCGCCUGCACGAAGUCGGAAUUGCUAGUAAUCGCAGAUCAGCAUGCUGCGGUGAAUACGUUCCCGGGCCUUGCACACACCGCCCGUCA
RNAcentral lists this ribosomal RNA (1374 nucleotides) under uncultured bacterium. RNAcentral's name for it is "bacterial SSU rRNA". It matches the Rfam family "Bacterial small subunit ribosomal RNA". The record is from RNAcentral.